RNAcentral lists this ribosomal RNA (623 nucleotides) under uncultured fungus. RNAcentral's name for it is "eukaryotic LSU rRNA". The stretch from base 198 to 351 matches the Rfam family "5.8S ribosomal RNA". Lineage: Eukaryota; Fungi. The record is from RNAcentral.
GAGCUAUACUAUCAGCGACACCGAGCAUAGCUAUCUACAGGCGACAUCCUCUAUCAGCGACUCAACGAUUGUUUUAAACUAUCGGCAUCUGUCAGCUUGUGUUGUUCACGAGCAUGGCCGUGGACAAGCCGCCAAACAUGUAAACAAACCCUUUUAAUUUUUUCACGAGCAUCAUUUUUUGUAUGAAUGUACAAAACAACUUUCGGCAACGGAUCUCUUGGCUCUCGCAACGAUGAAGAACGCAGCGAAAUCUAUCACGAGCAUUGAAUUGCAGAAUUCAGUUACUACGAGCAUCUUUGAACGCACAUUGCGCUUCCUGGUAUUCCGGGGAGCAUGCCCGUUUCAGAAUCAUUAAAAUCUCACCAAGGUUGAGCUUUUCCAGCGACUAUCACGAGCAUACUACGAGCAUUUUGUUUCGACAAUCAUCUUCACAGCGAGCAUUGUGCAUCCAUCGAACAUUCGAUGGGUUACCAAAGUGCAACAGAUUUCAUCUAUCUACGAGGCACGAGCAUUUCGCUUCUAUCAUUACGACGAGCAUAUGGGAGCAUAUACCCAAGCAUCCUAUCACGAGCAUGCCCUUGGGUGAAAUAUUUGAUAACUUGGUCUGAAAUCGGGCAAGAAAC